Molecule: ribosomal RNA, 377 nt
Filed under: uncultured bacterium
Lineage: Bacteria
Description: bacterial SSU rRNA
Rfam family: Bacterial small subunit ribosomal RNA
Source: RNAcentral
UAAUACGAAGGGGGCGAGCGUUGUUCGGAAUUAUUGGGCGUAAAGGGAGCGUAGGCGGUUCGAUAAGUCACUUGUGAAAUCUCUGGGCUCAACUCAGAGUCUGCAAGCGAAACUGUCGGGCUUGAGUAUGGGAGAGGUGAGUGGAAUUCCUGGUGUAGCGGUGAAAUGCGUAGAUAUCAGGAGGAACACCUGUGGCGAAAGCGGCUCACUGGACCAUUACUGACGCUGAUGCUCGAAAGCUAGGGGAGCAAACAGGAUUAGAUACCCUGGUAGUCCUAGCCCUAAACGAUGAUUGCUUGGUGUGGUGGGUACCCAAUCCCACUGUGCCGAAGCUAACGCGAUAAGCAAUCCGCCUGGGGAGUACGGUCGCAAGGCUG